This is a non-coding RNA of Pelobates cultripes (western spadefoot toad), 340 nucleotides long. NCBI's taxonomy places the organism in Eukaryota, Metazoa, Chordata, Amphibia, Anura, Pelobatidae. The record is from the annotation of a GenBank genome assembly.
UGUCUUUGUGUUUGUUAUCGUUUAGGAAUGCAUACAUAUAGCACUGCGUGUGUAUCUGUGUUUGUGUGUCUAGGAGAACUCAUCCAUGUGUGCACAUAUCUAAAAACAUAUAUGUGUCUGUGAGUUUCUAUCUGUCUGAAUGUGUGGUUGUGUGUGCCAGGAUAGAAACACAAAAUGGUUUGGUAAGGACCCUGUGAUGUCUGAUGGUAGUUCACAUGCUCUCUAUCCUCACUAGUAAGUAUCUCCCUGGGUGGAAAGGAGCCGUAGCAAAAAAACUCUUUAGAGGUAAGUGACCUCUAACGCAACAUUGUUAGUGUUCGUUGGGAGCUCUCUGUAUGAA